This 52-nucleotide ribosomal RNA is filed under the name 'Erianthus arundinaceus' phytoplasma. RNAcentral describes it as "partial 16S ribosomal RNA". Lineage: Bacteria; Bacillati; Mycoplasmatota; Mollicutes; Acholeplasmatales; Acholeplasmataceae. The record is from RNAcentral.
GUCGUAACAAGGUAUCCCUACCGGAAGGUGGGGAUGGUUCACCUCCUUUCUA